CUGCCUGCCCACCUAUGGUUUGGUCACACUGGCCUUUUCAAUUACACUGUAAGCUUUCUGAGGGCAGGGCAGCAAACAACGAAAACCACAGGAUCGUCUUUUCAAGUUUGAGACUGCUCUCGGUUAUUAGUUUGAAGAGUAAGGAGAGGCGAAGAAGAUCAGAGCAGUGAUGGCAUCGUAGAAUCGGAGAGAUGGAAUGGAUCUCUCAAAGUCCAGGCCCCUGUCUUUGAGAAAGUUAAAGUUGAAAGCACGCAGGCCAUGCCGUUGUCCAGUCUAGGAAGAGAAAAAGCAAGAAACCAGUGGUCUGAAUCUAUGAUAAUAGAACAACGACUGCAAAACAAGAAAAGUGUAUACGGAGCUGGAUGAAAGAGCCACUGUAAUAAUAAUACAAACCCAAGAACAACAAAA
Long non-coding RNA from Ornithorhynchus anatinus (platypus), 408 nucleotides. RefSeq lists it as uncharacterized. Lineage: Eukaryota; Metazoa; Chordata; Mammalia; Monotremata; Ornithorhynchidae. The record is from RefSeq and is a predicted model, not a curated record. The transcript is spliced from 3 exons.